Molecule: ribosomal RNA, 976 nt
Filed under: Dioithona oculata
Lineage: Eukaryota; Metazoa; Arthropoda; Copepoda; Cyclopoida; Oithonidae
Description: eukaryotic LSU rRNA
Rfam family: Eukaryotic large subunit ribosomal RNA
Source: RNAcentral
ACAACCGUGAUGCCCUUAGUAAUGGCGAAUGAAACGGGCAGAGCCCAGCAGCGAACUCCCGGACAUUUCGGUCGUGCGGAAUGUGGUGUUUGGGAGAGCCUCAUCGCAGUGAGUCGAGGCGUUCAAGUACACCUUGACUGGGAACACGGCCCGUAGAGGGUGAUAGGCCCGUGAGACCCUUGACUUGCUGCGAUGGCUUUUCCCUAGAGUCGAGUUGUUUGGGAGUACAGCUCAAAAUGCGUGGUAAACUCCACGUAAGGCUAAAUAUGACCCCGAGACCGAUAGCGAACAAGUACCGUGAGGGAAAGUUGAAAAGCACUUUGAAGAGAGAGUUCAAUAGUACGUGAAACUGUAUAGUAGUAAACGGAGGGGCUCUCGAAAUCGGCGGUGGCGGUUCAGGGUGACGGCGGGGUGGCCUGGGGGUUUGGGAUCCGCAAGGACCCUGCCUCUUUGUUGGCCCUGUCGGCGCCUGCACUUCGCUACCGCCUCACGCGACGAACCGUUCCUUUCGGACCGAGGGCGUGGGUGAAGUUUGUUGGCCUCAGUUAGCAAGCCCUGCGUUUCUGGCUCUGGAGGGGACGGGUAUUUGAGUGGUCUCGUAUAGCGAGUGAUAUCCUAUCACGGGCCGCAUCUCUGUCGCGAGUAGGUCGGUGGCCCUUUCGACCCGUCUUGAAACACGGACCAAGGAGUUUCACCUGUGCGCAAGCCAUUGGGUGUACUAAACCCAAAGGCGUAGUGAAAGCAAAGGCUCUUUGAGAUGAGGGGUGAUCCUUCACGGGCGCAACCCCGGAGCUUCGCAUCGACCUCGCUUCGUGCGGAGCAUCAAGAGCGUACAAGUUGAGACCCGAAAGAUGGUGAACUAUGCCUGGCCAGGUUGAAGUCAGGGGAAACUCUGAUGGAGGACCGUAGCGAUUCUGACGUGCAAAUCGAUCGUCGGAGCUGGGUAUAGGGGCGAAAGACUAAUCGAACCAUCUAA